This 466-nucleotide ribosomal RNA is filed under the name uncultured bacterium. RNAcentral's name for it is "partial 16S ribosomal RNA". It matches the Rfam family "Bacterial small subunit ribosomal RNA", at positions 29 to 523 of the family's 1533-position model. The record is from RNAcentral.
AACGAACGCUGGCGGUAUGCUUAACACAUGCAAGUCGAACGAACAAAAUUGGUGCUUGCUCCAAUUUUAGUGAGUGGCAAACGGGUGAGUAACACGUGGGAAUCUACCUAUCAGUACGGAAUAACAUUUGGAAACAGAUGCUAAUACCGUAUAUUCUCCAAGGAGGAAAGAUUUAUCGCUGAUAGAUGAGCCCGCGUAAGAUUAGGUAGUUGGUAGGGUAAUGGCCUACCAAGCCGACGAUCUUUAGCUGGUCUUAGAGGAUGAUCAGCCACACUGGGACUGAGACACGGCCCAGACUCCUACGGGAGGCGGCAGUGGGGAAUAUUGGACAAUGGGCGAAAGCCUGAUCCAGCAAUGCCGCGUGAAUGAUGAAGGCCUUAGGGUUGUAAAGUUCUUUUAGUUGGAAAGAUAGUGACGGUACCAACAGAAAAAGCCCCGGCUAACUCCGUGCCAGCCGCCGCCGUAA